CGCUGGCUGAAAUCGGACCAAGUCAUCAGUUCACUCAUUUGGUCCCCUUCAACCAGUUAC
Molecule: microRNA precursor, 60 nt
Filed under: Eisenia fetida (common brandling worm)
Lineage: Eukaryota; Metazoa; Annelida; Clitellata; Crassiclitellata; Lumbricidae
Description: Efe-Mir-133_pre stem-loop
Source: RNAcentral